UACGGGGGGAGCAAGCGUUGUUCGGAUUUACUGGGCGUAAAGGGCGCGUAGGCGGCCACCGCAAGUCGACUGUGAAAUCUCCGGGCUUAACUCGGAAAGGUCAGCCGAUACUGCGGGGCUAGAGUGCAGAAGGGGCAACUGGAAUUCUCGGUGUAGCGGUGAAACGCGUAGAUAUCGAGAGGAACACCUGCGGCGAAGGCGGGUUGCUGGGCUGACACUGACGCUGAAGCGCGAAAGCUAGGGGAGCGAACGGG
Molecule: ribosomal RNA, 254 nt
Filed under: uncultured bacterium
Lineage: Bacteria
Description: partial 16S ribosomal RNA
Rfam family: Bacterial small subunit ribosomal RNA
Source: RNAcentral